This 245-nucleotide unclassified non-coding RNA is filed under the name Helminthosporium sp. RNAcentral's name for it is "partial contains 5.8S ribosomal RNA, internal transcribed spacer 2, and large subunit ribosomal RNA". The record is from RNAcentral. Lineage: Eukaryota; Fungi; Ascomycota; Dothideomycetes; Pleosporales; Massarinaceae.
CGCACAUUGCGCCCCUCGGUAUUCCGUGGGGCAUGCCUGUUCGAGCGUCAUUUGAAACUCAAGCCCAGCUUGGUGUUGGGCGUUUGUCCCGCCUCUGCGCGUGGACUCGCCCCAAAGUCAUUGGCAGCGGUCGUGCCGGCUUCUCGUGCAGCACAUUGCGCUUCUUGAAGCCCCGGUGGAUCAGCGUCCAGCAAGCCUUUCUAUAACUUGACCUCGGAUCAGGUAGGGAUACCCGCUGAACUUAA